UCCCUAGUAGCUCAGAUGGUAAAGCAUCUGCUUGCAAUGCAGGAGACCUGGGUUCAAUCCCUGGGUCAGGAA
Molecule: transfer RNA, 72 nt
Filed under: Bos taurus (domestic cattle)
Lineage: Eukaryota; Metazoa; Chordata; Mammalia; Artiodactyla; Bovidae
Also listed under: 2 other names
Rfam family: tRNA
About the family: Transfer RNA (tRNA) molecules are approximately 80 nucleotides in length. Their secondary structure includes four short double-helical elements and three loops (D, anti-codon, and T loops).
Source: Rfam by way of RNAcentral